This 253-nucleotide ribosomal RNA is filed under the name uncultured bacterium. Its description in RNAcentral is "partial 16S ribosomal RNA". It matches the Rfam family "Bacterial small subunit ribosomal RNA", at positions 524 to 776 of the family's 1533-position model. The record is from RNAcentral.
UACAGAGGUGGCAAGCGUUGUUCGGAAUUACUGGGCGUAAAGGGCGCGUAGGCGGCUUGGUCAGUCCCGUGUGAAAUCCCUCGGCUCAACUGAGGAACUGCACGGGAAACUGCCUGGCUUGAGUUCGGCAGAGGAAGGUGGAAUUCCACGUGUAGCGGUGAAAUGCGUAGAUAUGUGGAGGAACACCGAUGGCGAAGGCAGCCUUCUGGGCCAACACUGACGCUCAUGCACGAAAGCGUGGGGAGCAAACAGG